GAAGGUGUGCUGUGAGGCAUGCUGGAGGUAUCAGAAGUGCGAAUGCUGACAUAAGUAACGAUAAAGCGGGUGAAAAGCCCGCUCGCCGGAAGACCAAGGGUUCCUGUCCAACGUUAAUCGGGGCAGGGUGAGUCGACCCCUAAGGCGAGGCCGAAAGGCGUAGUCGAUGGGAAACAGGUUAAUAUUCCUGUACUUGGUGUUACUGCGAAGGGGGGACGGAGAAGGCUAUGUUGGCCGGGCGACGGUUGUCCCGGUUUAAGCGUGUAGGCUGGUUUUCCAGGCAAAUCCGGAAAAUCAAGGCUGAGGCGUGAUGACGAGGCACUACGGUGCUGAAGCAACAAAUGCCCUGCUUCCAGGAAAAGCCUCUAAGCAUCAGGUAACAUCAAAUCGUACCCCAAACCGACACAGGUGGUCAGGUAGAGAAUACCAAGGCGCUUGAGAGAACUCGGGUGAAGGAACUAGGCAAAAUGGUGCCGUAACUUCGGGAGAAGGCACGCUGAUAUGUAGGUGAAGCGACUUGCUCGUGGAGCUGAAAUCAGUCGAAGAUACCAGCUGGCUGCAACUGUUUAUUAAAAACACAGCACUGUGCAAACACGAAAGUGGACGUAUACGGUGUGACGCCUGCCCGGUGCCGGAAGGUUAAUUGAUGGGGUCAGCGCAAGCGAAGCUCUUGAUCGAAGCCCCGGUAAACGGCGGCCGUAACUAUAACGGUCCUAAGGUAGCGAAAUUCCUUGUCGGGUAAGUUCCGACCUGCACGAAUGGCGUAAUGAUGGCCAGGCUGUCUCCACCCGAGACUCAGUGAAAUUGAACUCGCUGUGAAGAUGCAGUGUACCCGCGGCAAGACGGAAAGACCCCGUGAACCUUUACUAUAGCUUGACACUGAACAUUGAGCCUUGAUGUGUAGGAUAGGUGGGAGGCUUUGAAGUGUGGACGCCAGUCUGCAUGGAGCCGACCUUGAAAUACCACCCUUUAAUGUUUGAUGUUCUAACGUUGACCCGUAAUCCGGGUUGCGGACAGUGUCUGGUGGGUAGUUUGACUGGGGCGGUCUCCUCCUAAAGAGUAACGGAGGAGCACGAAGGUUGGCUAAUCCUGGUCGGACAUCAGGAGGUUAGUGCAAUGGCAUAAGC
RNAcentral lists this ribosomal RNA (1127 nucleotides) under Escherichia coli. RNAcentral's name for it is "partial 23S ribosomal RNA". It matches the Rfam family "Bacterial large subunit ribosomal RNA", at positions 1252 to 2364 of the family's 2925-position model. The record is from RNAcentral. Lineage: Bacteria; Pseudomonadati; Pseudomonadota; Gammaproteobacteria; Enterobacterales; Enterobacteriaceae.